GUCCAAGAUGCAGGACUUUGCAUAGGGCACGGAUGGAUUUUCACAGUCAGCACGAGGAUGGGAGGAGAACAGGGCAGAUCCAGCUCCACUCAGUGAGAGUUCUGGCUGGAGUUACUUGGCCAGGCCUCACUCCCGAGAGAGGAGACCUUCCUCUGGACCAGCUACCAAGACAGCCCCUAAUUGGAAAAUGUUGUCUUCUAAGCUUCCAUCCAGAAAUCCAUCUCAGAGCCUGUCCUCAGAGGAACCUGAUGCCAGAGCUGUGCACUCAAAGUAUUUGGACACAGGUAUUUUGUGGAACUGAGCUUUUUCCAGGUCUUGCUGGAGGUGAUUCUGUGUGAACUUGACGGAACUCUUUCUCAUGGGCUUUUUUUCUAAGUGUGGGAGAGCAUGGCCUGCAUGACUGCUGGCUUCCAGCACGUGGCGUGCAAACCCAUGCCGGGGUGUGUAAUUCACUGUAGCCCUUGACAGAAUAGCAGGGAUAAAGGUCGUUUUUUAAUCUUCUGUUUAUUACUCUCAGCCAAUUAACUUCUACCUACAGUAGAAGAUAUUUUGCCAACUAUUUUUUUCAAAAUGGAGAAAUACCAUGCUCUUAAAAAAGUCUUUUAGAGGCACAGACUUCCCAAUUUCAUUACACUGAAAUCACUAAAAGAUAGAAAAAAGUGACAUUCACGUAUCAAAGAAAUUAUCUUUUGGCAAAAUACUCUGUUUUGGUUUGAAAUGUUUGUGAAUUUUCCUGCAUGUGUCCAGAUGCAUAGGGAGUUUAUUCAUUCAAUUAAAUUAAAACUUUAGAUAACAUGGUAAAUUCAAAAAGUAGUGAAGACACAUUUUGUUUCUACCUCUUUAAUUGAGAAAACUGGCUGAUGCCUCCCGUGUGUGAGCACCGUGUAGCUGAUGCAGGUAGAGAAACCGAGGUUUUCUUAUUUGCUGCCGCUGGGCC
This 937-nucleotide long non-coding RNA is filed under the name Homo sapiens (human). RNAcentral's name for it is "HSALNT0025615". Lineage: Eukaryota; Metazoa; Chordata; Mammalia; Primates; Hominidae. The record is from RNAcentral.